AACCAAGUUUGUUAUUGGUAUGAGUUUCCGUGUUCAUGCACACUUCCUCAGCUCAUUCGGUAUCUGAAGAAGUGUGCAUGCACACGAAAGCUCAUACCAAUAACAAACUUAGUUGG
Molecule: non-coding RNA, 116 nt
Organism: Podarcis lilfordi (Lilford's wall lizard)
Lineage: Eukaryota; Metazoa; Chordata; Lepidosauria; Squamata; Lacertidae
Source: the annotation of a GenBank genome assembly